GACGAACGCUGGCGGCGUGCCUAAUACAUGCAAGUUGAGCGCUGAAGGUUGGUACUUGUACCGACUGGAUGAGCAGCGAACGGGUGAGUAACGCGUGGGGAAUCUGCCUUUGAGCGGGGGACAACAUUUGGAAACGAAUGCUAAUACCGCAUAAAAACUUUAAACACAAGUUUUAAGUUUGAAAGAUGCAAUUGCAUCACUCAAAGAUGAUCCCGCGUUGUAUUAGCUAGUUGGUGAGGUAAAGGCUCACCAAGGCGAUGAUACAUAGCCGACCUGAGAGGGUGAUCGGCCACAUUGGGAAUGAGAAACGGUCCAAACUCCUACGGGAGGCAGCAGGAGGGAAUCUUCGGCAAUGGACGAAAGUCUGACCGAGCAACGCCGCGUGAGUGAAGAAGGUUUUCGGAUCGUAAAACUCUGUUGGUAGAGAAGAACGUUGGUGAGAGUGGAAAGCUCAUCAAGUGACGGUAACUACACAGAAAGAGACGGCUAACUACGUG
RNAcentral lists this ribosomal RNA (497 nucleotides) under uncultured bacterium. Its description in RNAcentral is "partial 16S ribosomal RNA". It matches the Rfam family "Bacterial small subunit ribosomal RNA", at positions 28 to 507 of the family's 1533-position model. The record is from RNAcentral.